GAUGAACGCUAGCUACAGGCUUAACACAUGCAAGUCGAGGGGUAACGAGAGGAAAGCUUGCUUUCCUUGUCGACGACCGGCGCACGGGUGAGUAACGCGUAUCCAACCUGCCCCCAACUAGGGAAUAACCUUGCGAAAGUAAGACUAAUACCCUAUAAUUUCCUCAGAUGUCAUCUUACGAGGAAUAAAGAUUUAUCGGUUGUGGAUGGGGAUGCGGCUGAUUAGCUUGUUGGCGGGGUAACGGACCACCAAGGCAACGAUCAGUAGGGGUUCUGAGAGGAAGGUCCCCCACAUUGGAACUGAGACACGGUCCAAACUCCUACGGGAGGCAGCAGUGAGGAAUAUUGGUCAAUGGGCGGAAGCCUGAACCAGCCAAGUAGCGUGCAGGAUGACGGCCCUAUGGGUUGUAAACUGCUUUUAUACAGGAAUAAAGUUAGCCACGUGUGGUUAUUUGUAGGUACUGUAUGAAUAAGGACCGGCUAAUUCCGUGCCAGCAGCCGCGGUAA
RNAcentral lists this ribosomal RNA (506 nucleotides) under uncultured bacterium. Its description in RNAcentral is "partial 16S ribosomal RNA". It matches the Rfam family "Bacterial small subunit ribosomal RNA", at positions 28 to 523 of the family's 1533-position model. The record is from RNAcentral.